RNAcentral lists this ribosomal RNA (503 nucleotides) under uncultured bacterium. RNAcentral's name for it is "bacterial SSU rRNA". It matches the Rfam family "Bacterial small subunit ribosomal RNA", at positions 19 to 518 of the family's 1533-position model. The record is from RNAcentral.
CUGGCUCAGGAUGAACGCUGGCGGCGUGCCUAAUACAUGCAAGUCGAACGAGGCGCAGCAAUGCGCCGAGUGGCGAACGGGUGAGUAACACGUAGGUAACCUGCCCCUAAGUCUGGGAUACCCAGGGGAAACCUUGGCUAAUACCGGAUAGCGGCGGAGGGGACAUCCCUUCCGCACGAAAGUCGCGUUUGCGACGCUUUCGGAUGGACCUGCGGCACAUUAGCUAGUUGGCGGGCAACGGCCCACCAAGGCGAGGAUGUGUAGCCGACCUGAGAGGGUGAACGGCCACAAUGGAACUGAGACACGGUCCAUACUCCUACGGGAGGCAGCAGUAGGGAGUUUUCGGCAAUGGGCGAAAGCCUGACCGAGCAACGCCGCGUGAAGUGAGAAGGUCUUCGGAUUGUAAAGCUCUGUUACGAGGGACGAACGGUGGGGUCAGGAAAUGGGCCCCAAUUGACGGUACCUCGCCAGAAAGUGACGGCUAACUACGUGCCAGCCGCUGC